GCGCGGUAGCUCAGCUGGUUAGAGCGCAGGAUUCAUAAUCCUGAGGUCGGGAGUUCAAGUCUCCCCCGCG
RNAcentral lists this transfer RNA (70 nucleotides) under marine eukaryotic metagenome. It matches the Rfam family "tRNA". Rfam says of the family: Transfer RNA (tRNA) molecules are approximately 80 nucleotides in length. Their secondary structure includes four short double-helical elements and three loops (D, anti-codon, and T loops). The record is from RNAcentral.